This 441-nucleotide ribosomal RNA is filed under the name Fusobacteria bacterium oral taxon 220. RNAcentral's name for it is "bacterial SSU rRNA". It matches the Rfam family "Bacterial small subunit ribosomal RNA", at positions 28 to 482 of the family's 1533-position model. The record is from RNAcentral. Lineage: Bacteria; Fusobacteriati; Fusobacteriota.
GAUGAACGCUGACAGAAUGCUUAACACAUGCAAGUCUACUUGAAUUUGGGUUUUUAACUUAGGUUUGGGUGGCGGACGGGUGAGUAACGCGUAAAGAACUUGCCUCACAGCUAGGGACAACAUUUAGAAAUGAAUGCUAAUACCUAAUAUUAUGAUAAUAGGGCAUCCUAUAAUUAUGAAAGCUAUAUGCGCUGUGAGAGAGCUUUGCGUCCUAUUAGCUAGUUGGUAAGGUAAAGGCUUACCAAGGCGAUGAUAGGUAGCCGGCCUGAGAGGGUGGACGGCCACAAGGGGACUGAGAUACGGCCCUUACUCCUACGGGAGGCAGCAGUGGGGAAUAUUGGACAAUGGAGGAAACUCUGGUCCAGCAAUUCUGUGUGUGUGAAGAAGGUCUUCGGAUUGUAAAACACUUUUAGUUGGGAAGAAACAAAUGACGGUACCAAC